Molecule: ribosomal RNA, 482 nt
Filed under: uncultured bacterium
Lineage: Bacteria
Description: bacterial SSU rRNA
Rfam family: Bacterial small subunit ribosomal RNA
Source: RNAcentral
UUGAACGCUGGCGGCAUGCUUUACACAUGCAAGUCGAACGGCAGCACGGGGGCAACCCUGGUGGCGAGUGGCGAACGGGUGAGUAAUAUAUCGGAACAUAUCCGGAAGUGGGGGAUAACGUACCGAAAGGUACGCUAAUACCGCAUAUGCCCUGAGGGGGAAAGCGGGGGAUCGUAAGACCUCGCGCUUUCGGAGUGGCCGAUAUCGGAUUAGCUAGUAGGUGAGGUAAAGGCUCACCUAGGCGACGAUCCGUAGCUGGUCUGAGAGGACGACCAGCCACACUGGGACUGAGACACGGCCCAGACUCCUACGGGAGGCAGCAGUGGGGAAUUUUGGACAAUGGGCGCAAGCCUGAUCCAGCCAUGCCGCGUGAGUGAAGAAGGCCUUCGGGUUGUAAAGCUCUUUCGGACAGAAAGAAAUCGCACAGGUUAAUACCUUGUGUGGAUGACGGUACUGUAAGAAGAAGCACCGGCUAACUACGU